CUCCGAGUCUUUAUCCAGAGUUCAUACAGCCUGCCUUCUGCCAUCAGCCCUAGCAGGCUGCGACUCCCCAAAUCCUUUUAUCGUGCAUUACAUGCGCUGGCCAGGAACACCGCCAUAGCUGUGAAAAAACAAGAACAGAAAACAAACAACACCACAAGCAAAAACCAUUACAUUAGCAUAGGGAAAGGGAGGGAGGGAGGGAAACUGUUC
Non-coding RNA from Pelobates cultripes (western spadefoot toad), 210 nucleotides. NCBI's taxonomy places the organism in Eukaryota, Metazoa, Chordata, Amphibia, Anura, Pelobatidae. The record is from the annotation of a GenBank genome assembly.